GACGAACGCUGGCGGCGUGCUUAACACAUGCAAGUCGAACGAAGAGCGACGGAAGCUUGCUUCUAUCACUCUUAGUGGCGGACGGGUGAGUAACGCGUAAUCAACCUGCCCUUCAGAGGGGGACAACAGUUGGAAACGACUGCUAAUACCGCAUACGAUCUAAUCUCGGCAUCGAGGAUGGAUGAAAGGUGGCCUCUACAUGUAAGCUAUCACUGAAGGAGGGGAUUGCGUCUGAUUAGCUAGUUGGAGGGGUAACGGCCCACCAAGGCGAUGAUCAGUAGCCGGUCUGAGAGGAUGAACGGCCACAUUGGGACUGAGACACGGCCCAGACUCCUACGGGAGGCAGCAGUGGGGAAUCUUCCGCAAUGGACGAAAGUCUGACGGAGCAACGCCGCGUGAGUGAUGACGGCCUUCGGGUUGUAAAGCUCUGUUAAUCGGGACGAAAGGCCUUCUUGCGAAUAGUGAGAAGGAUUGACGGUACCGGAAGAGAAAGCCACGGCUAACUACGUG
Molecule: ribosomal RNA, 510 nt
Filed under: uncultured bacterium
Lineage: Bacteria
Description: partial 16S ribosomal RNA
Rfam family: Bacterial small subunit ribosomal RNA
Source: RNAcentral